GUACGUACGUCAUAAUAAAAUAUUGUGAGGUCGUAAUAAAGUAUUGUGACGUCGUUA
Molecule: microRNA precursor, 57 nt
Filed under: Ciona intestinalis (vase tunicate)
Lineage: Eukaryota; Metazoa; Chordata; Ascidiacea; Phlebobranchia; Cionidae
Description: microRNA cin-mir-4021 precursor
Source: miRBase by way of RNAcentral